AAUAUGAAAUAUAUUAGAUCGUACUUAAAAGUUUACAAAAAUUGAUCAAUAUUUAUUUUAAACCCAAUAAAUAUGAUCAUGGGAGAAAAAUAUGUGUAUCGGUAAGUUUUUUCAAAUUGUGCGAAAGAUGAAAAAAUUCACGGUUUCGGUUAUCGCAACUGUUACGUUACAGCCUUUAAACCCCACAACCGCAACCGCGCCACCGCCACCAUUACGGCGACCGCAACUGUUUUUCAGAACCUUGCCAAAAUGUGUAAUAUCUACCACCAUGCCGUUUUAAGGAUCGGUGAAAUAACUGUAACUGCAAUACUCUUCUCAAACUCUCCAUGCUCAUAGCCUUUGGACAUCUAUUAAUCUUUUGCAAGUGUUAUGUUUUAGCGUGUGCAUAUUGAAGCCACAUUUUGCAAAAUACUAUUUCUAUCUAUGGAAAUUAGUUACCCUGCUAAUGUCUUUGAUUCUAUUGAGUUUCUAUUGCCCUAUACAGAAAUUUGUGUAUUCUUUAUUUUUCUUUUUUUCUUUAAAACACUCUUCUUUUGAUUUCCUAUUUUCAGCUUUUUGUUAGGCCUAUUUGAUAUUUGUUGCGGUCAAUAAUUUGAAAUUCCCUCAUUUAAGAACAAUGAAUUUAUGCUCCUUCUAUUCUUUUGUUUAUAUUGUAUAAUGAUACAUAGUAUAAAACAUCACAUGUGAUAUAUAACUUCUUAUUGACAAUUAUACUAUCUCAAACAAUUAUUACUUACUAUUAAGCUUUUCGAUACUGUUCCUUAAGGGCAGGCUGCCAGUUUUGCAACAACCACCCCCCCCCCCCCCCA
Molecule: non-coding RNA, 809 nt
Organism: Camellia sinensis
Lineage: Eukaryota; Viridiplantae; Streptophyta; Magnoliopsida; Ericales; Theaceae
Source: RefSeq, a predicted model, not a curated record